This 253-nucleotide ribosomal RNA is filed under the name uncultured bacterium. RNAcentral describes it as "partial 16S ribosomal RNA". It matches the Rfam family "Bacterial small subunit ribosomal RNA", at positions 524 to 776 of the family's 1533-position model. The record is from RNAcentral.
UACAGAGGGUGCGAGCGUUAAUCGGAAUUACUGGGCGUAAAGCGUGCGUAGGCGGCUAUCUAAGUCGGGUGUGAAAGCCCCGGGCUCAACCUGGGAACUGCAUUUGUGACUGCAUCGCUGGAGUGCGGCAGAGGGGGAUGGAAUUCCGCGUGUAGCAGUGAAAUGCGUAGAUAUGCGGAGGAACACCGAUGGCGAAGGCAAUCCCCUGGGCCUGCACUGACGCUCAUGCACGAAAGCGUGGGGAGCAAACAGG